Molecule: ribosomal RNA, 433 nt
Filed under: uncultured bacterium
Lineage: Bacteria
Description: partial 16S ribosomal RNA
Rfam family: Bacterial small subunit ribosomal RNA
Source: RNAcentral
AGCGAACGCUGGCGGCAGGCUUAACACAUGCAAGUCGAGCGGACCUUUCGGGGUCAGCGGCGGACGGGUGAGUAACGCGUGGGAACGUGCCUUCCGGUUCGGAAUAACCCUGGGAAACUAGGGCUAAUACCGGAUACGCCCUUAUGGGGAAAGGUUUACUGCCGGAAGAUCGGCCCGCGUCUGAUUAGCUAGUUGGUGGGGUAACGGCCUACCAAGGCGACGAUCAGUAGCUGGUCUGAGAGGAUGAUCAGCCACACUGGGACUGAGACACGGCCCAGACUCCUACGGGAGGCAGCAGUGGGGAAUAGUGGACAAUGGGCGCAAGCCUGAUCCAGCCAUGCCGCGUGAGUGAUGAAGGCCUUAGGGUUGUAAAGCUCUUUUAUCCGGGACGAUAAUGACGGUACCGGAGGAAUAAGCCCCGGCUAACUUCGUG